UGAAGCUAUUUUUGUUGUAAGUUCAAGUCUUACCGUGUGCAUAUAAAAGUGUAGCUUUAGC
RNAcentral lists this transfer RNA (61 nucleotides) under Fusarium pseudograminearum CS3220. Its description in RNAcentral is "tRNA-Leu". The record is from RNAcentral. RNAcentral also lists the same sequence under 4 other names. Lineage: Eukaryota; Fungi; Ascomycota; Sordariomycetes; Hypocreales; Nectriaceae.